This is a long non-coding RNA of Cornus florida, 1056 nucleotides long. RefSeq lists it as uncharacterized. The record is from RefSeq and is a predicted model, not a curated record. The transcript is spliced from 6 exons. NCBI's taxonomy places the organism in Eukaryota, Viridiplantae, Streptophyta, Magnoliopsida, Cornales, Cornaceae.
UCACCUCUCCCCAAUAAGCAUCAAAAAGCAAAAUCUUGGUCCAGUGUUGUUGAACAUGGAACUAACAAAAUGAAAUUUGUUUAUAUGCCCCCCUCAUCUGCUAAUUCCAAUUUUAUCGAACCACCUAAAGAAGUUGUUGAUGAAGGUUUAAACUUCUGGUCCUUUUUCCACUUGGUUGGUUUCUCCACCCACAAGAGAUUGCCAUUCAAGGUUUCAUAUCACGAUUCUUUUCUUCUCUCUCACCCACGACAUCAGGGCUUGGUGGUGUGCGUGGUGUGGCUCAGGGAAGAGCACGGUGACUAUGGUCGAUUGGUGGUGCGGGUGGUGCGUUGGUGGUUGAUUGGUGGUACAUCGGAGGUUUGGACAGUGGUGGUUAAAGGGUUGGGCUCUUGUAAGUUGUUACAUAAUCUUUCAUAAUGGAUAGAAGUUAGAUUACGGACUCAAGGAUAAGUACUACAUACUCGAAUGGAGUUGAACAAUUUCUAGAUACAGCAUUUGAGCGAGUUGGGCAGAGUGGACGCAUAUAUUGUCCGUGUACCAAGUGUGGGAAUUGUAUCAAGAAAACAAGGCAAGAAGUUUUGCAUGACUUGAUGUGGAAUGGGUUGCACGUGUAGAAAUGAAGGAGACAGUGGAAAAGAUACGUGCUGAGUAUGAUGAAAAAUAUGAUGGUUUGAAUCCAAAAAUGGCAAUGAUUUUGCAUCAUAUUGAACAUCAAAAUUCUAAUGUACAGGUACCUGGCUCCUCAACUGCACUUGGUGAUCUUUAAAUUUUAUUUUUGGUCGUGAAAUUUCAUCCUUGGGCAAUUUGAAGCAAGACGAUAAAUGAAGUUGAACCAUUAAUUCUCAAGACCCUCGCAUAGUCUCACUCAAAUUAUCAAUGAAAUGUUGAUGUUUUAUUUUGAAUGAUUUCCUUUAGAAGCUUUAUUAGAUUUUGGUGUUUCCUUUUGAAUCUUUUAUUAGCACUUGACAUUUUAAAACAAAACGUAUAUGUUAUGGGAUGUUAUUGAAUUUUAAUGCAACUUUGUUUUAUGUUAUAUAUCAAAUUUAAGUUGCUGGA